This is a non-coding RNA of Camellia sinensis, 555 nucleotides long. The record is from RefSeq and is a predicted model, not a curated record. NCBI's taxonomy places the organism in Eukaryota, Viridiplantae, Streptophyta, Magnoliopsida, Ericales, Theaceae.
UCCAAAGUACAAAUAUACCACCUUCAACUCUCACGUCUCUCCCCUCAUCCCUUUGAUUCACUCACUCUUGCCUCAUCCCUUUCACGGUGGACGAAGGACGAUGAUACGGUGGACGAAAGACGUGGGAGGACGACGGAAGACGACGAAUGAUGACGAAGGACGAAUGACAGCCUGUGAUCUGAGAGGACGAACAAACACUGCAAUUACUUCAAGUUCGCAGAUGACGAUGACGUUACCUCCACAAUCCGUGCCAAUGCUGGACCUCAAAUAGAUUCAAGAACAGAAGAAAUUAAUGAUCUAAGAAGAAGGCUUAGUGAGAUGGACAAUGCAGUUUAUGAGCAUGAUAGAAGGCUUCAAAGGGUGGAGAAGAUUUUGAAAGCAAUGACUUAUGUCAUUGUAUUUUGUAUAUUUUUUUACUUUAUCAUGUAAAUGAAUCAGUUGUUACGUUUUGGACAAUGUUAUGAAUGUAAUCAGUACUUCUUUUGUAUGUUGUAUUUUGUAAUCAAUACUGCCUACUAUUUUUAUUUUCUAUUUUAUUUUGUUUUGUGUUUUGUA